RNAcentral lists this ribosomal RNA (1275 nucleotides) under Escherichia coli. RNAcentral describes it as "partial 23S ribosomal RNA". It matches the Rfam family "Bacterial large subunit ribosomal RNA", at positions 245 to 1560 of the family's 2925-position model. The record is from RNAcentral. Lineage: Bacteria; Pseudomonadati; Pseudomonadota; Gammaproteobacteria; Enterobacterales; Enterobacteriaceae.
AGCGGCGAGCGAACGGGGAGCAGCCCAGAGCUUGAAUCAGUGUGUGUGUUAGUGGAAGCGUCUGGAAAGGCGUGCGAUACAGGGUGACAGCCCCGUACACAAAAAUGCACAUGCUGUGAGCUCGAUGAGUAGGGCGGGACACGUGGUAUCCUGUCUGAAUAUGGGGGGACCAUCCUCCAAGGCUAAAUACUCCUGACUGACCGAUAGUGAACCAGUACCGUGAGGGAAAGGCGAAAAGAACCCCGGCGAGGGGAGUGAAAAAGAACCUGAAACCGUGUACGUACAAGCAGUGGGAGCACAGAGCAAUCUGUGUGACUGCGUACCUUUUGUAUAAUGGGUCAGCGACUUAUAUUCUGUAGCAAGGUUAACCGAAUAGGGGAGCCGAAGGGAAACCGAGUCUUAACUGGGCGUUAAGUUGCAGGGUAUAGACCCGAAACCCGGUGAUCUAGCCAUGGGCAGGUUGAAGGUUGGGUAACACUAACUGGAGGACCGAACCGACUAAUGUUGAAAAAUUAGCGGAUGACUUGUGGCUGGGGGUGAAAGGCCAAUCAAACCGGGAGAUAGCUGGUUCUCCCCGAAAGCUAUUUAGGUAGCGCCUCGUGAAUUCAUCUCCGGGGGUAGAGCACUGUUUCGGCAAGGGGGUCAUCCCGACUUACCAACCCGAUGCAAACUGCGAAUACCGGAGAAUGUUAUCACGGGAGACACACGGCGGGUGCUAACGUCCGUCGUGAAGAGGGAAACAACCCAGACCGCCAGCUAAGGUCCCAAAGUCAUGGUUAAGUGGGAAACGAUGUGGGAAGGCCCAGACAGCCAGGAUGUUGGCUUAGAAGCAGCCAUCAUUUAAAGAAAGCGUAAUAGCUCACUGGUCGAGUCGGCCUGCGCGGAAGAUGUAACGGGGCUAAACCAUGCACCGAAGCUGCGGCAGCGACGCUUAUGCGUUGUUGGGUAGGGGAGCGUUCUGUAAGCCUGCGAAGGUGUGCUGUGAGGCAUGCUGGAGGUAUCAGAAGUGCGAAUGCUGACAUAAGUAACGAUAAAGCGGGUGAAAAGCCCGCUCGCCGGAAGACCAAGGGUUCCUGUCCAACGUUAAUCGGGGCAGGGUGAGUCGACCCCUAAGGCGAGGCCGAAAGGCGUAGUCGAUGGGAAACAGGUUAAUAUUCCUGUACUUGGUGUUACUGCGAAGGGGGGACGGAGAAGGCUAUGUUGGCCGGGCGACGGUUGUCCCGGUUUAAGCGUGUAGGCUGGUUUUCCAGGCAAAUCCGGAAAACUAAGGCUGAG